RNAcentral lists this ribosomal RNA (497 nucleotides) under uncultured bacterium. RNAcentral describes it as "partial 16S ribosomal RNA". It matches the Rfam family "Bacterial small subunit ribosomal RNA", at positions 28 to 507 of the family's 1533-position model. The record is from RNAcentral.
GACGAACGCUGGCGGCGUGCCUAAUACAUGCAAGUAGAACGCUGAAGAGAGGAGCUUGCUCUUCUUGGAUGAGUUGCGAACGGGUGAGUAACGCGUAGGUAACCUGCCUUGUAGCGGGGGAUAACUAUUGGAAACGAUAGCUAAUACCGCAUAACAAUGGAUGACACAUGUCAUUUAUUUGAAAGGGGCAAUUGCUCCACUACAAGAUGGACCUGCGUUGUAUUAGCUAGUAGGUGAGGUAAUGGCUCACCUAGGCGACGAUACAUAGCCGACCUGAGAGGGUGAUCGGCCACACUGGGACUGAGACACGGCCCAGACUCCUACGGGAGGCAGCAGUAGGGAAUCUUCGGCAAUGGGGGCAACCCUGACCGAGCAACGCCGCGUGAGUGAAGAAGGUUUUCGGACCGUAAAGCUCUGUUGUAAGUCAAGAACGGGUGUGAGAGUGGAAAGUUCACACUGUGACGGUAGCUUACCAGAAAGGGACGGCUAACUACGUG